This is a long non-coding RNA of Larimichthys crocea (large yellow croaker), 3162 nucleotides long. RefSeq lists it as uncharacterized. The transcript has 4 exons. NCBI's taxonomy places the organism in Eukaryota, Metazoa, Chordata, Actinopteri, Sciaenidae. The record is from RefSeq and is a predicted model, not a curated record.
UCCUAGCAACAGGAAACAUCAGCUUCCACGAGGACCAAUGAGGGCGCGCGGAGAGCGGUGUGUGUUGUCUCUUGUUGCUGUGAACGGAAUAUUUUAGGAGACUGGAGAGCAGCGAGCGUCUCACCCCGGAGGAGGAGGCUGGAGCCGGUGUCUGUCCGCCCGUCUGUCUGUCUGCAGGGACCGAGAGAAGCUCUGACUUCAGGCCGAGCUCUAGCGUCGCCGAAUUGGUGUGAGGACGGUAGAUGUCGCGCCAAAGAGCGGAGGACAUCCAGAGAGAGAGAGGCUUUAUCGGGGAUUUACUGAAGUACUGCUGGACAGAAACAUUUACAGGAGCCUGAGGGCGAUGUGGAGGCUCGGAUCGUCUCAGACACACUGAUUCAAAAUCCUGAUCUGAGAGCUGACUGUGGGACAUCAACAGCAGCAGCCCCUUCCCUGUGAGAGAGAGACCAAACCAUUCAACAACGUCGAAAGUUGCCUACUUCAAGAGGAAAUAUGCGGAGGAAGAGGAUUUACAGGGAAGCCUACAUGGAUAUUUUCAAAAACACCUGAUACUGCAGGAGGAUCGGAGCUGCAUCCUGAAGCUGUCCCUGGAGAAGCUGAGGUUCCUGGAGGACCCUGAGGCUUACCUGAGGCGCUCCGUCCUCAUCAACAACCUGCUAAGGAAGAUCCACCAUGAGGAGGAAGAGCUGGAGGCUGAAGAGGAGGAGGAAGAAGAAGAUGAAGUAGAAGAAGAGGAAGAAGAAGAGGAAGAAGGAGAGGAGGUUAUAGCAGAGAAGGGCCAGCGGAGGCUGUUGUAUCCAGACAGGAAGAAGGUAAAGGUGCUGGUGAUGGACUGCUGCUCUCCAACAUUUGGCCUCGAGGAGCUGCAGCAUUACCGACUGGUGCCCUGUUAUCCAUCGGCUGGAUGCCUGUACAGCCUGGGUACCUGCCCGGGUCUCGCCCCCAACCACCAGGUCCUUCUGUACAACCUGGAUGACAACGGCUGACUGUCCAGACAUCACCGUCAUGCCUCUUUUCAAAGCUGGGUAAUGCAACGUCAGAUCAUGUUACGAGGAUGUGGAGGAAAGCUGCUGUUGUUGUUCCCUCGGUUUCCCUUUGGGGGACACGUGUCCUAGGGUCUGUUUUGUUCCAGGAUGCGACCCCCUCUUGUCACCUCGAUAAGAGGCAGCGGUGGAUCUGAGACACUGAGAUAACCCUGAUUCUUCUUCUGCCUCAGGAUCAACAGGGUCUCUGACACUGAUGUCAGAAUGAUGUCACUGCCAUUUACUAUAAUGUGAGAGACUCUGAAGCAGGCAGGAUUUUUUUCGGCUGUUGAUGUUGUGUUAUUGAUUUUUAUUGUUAUUGUUGCUCAUGUGAACUGUGAGCAUAUUCAGGGAUUUACAGACUGUAGGCUAUUUUUGAUGCACCUUGGCUUGCGUGGAGAAUAUGUGCUGACAUGCUUCUGUUAUCUUUUUAUGCUACCGUGUGAUUUAUGAAAUAUUCUGUGUGAACAUUCCCUGGACUGUGUGAAUACUCAUUCUAUGAGGUGCCCGUGAAAAAGACUGUUUCUUUCUCUGUACUCUCUGUACUAUGUCCCGGGUUCAUUCAAUGAUGCUGUUAGUCAUUUCAUUUUGCAUCACUUUGCUGCCCUCUGCUGGUGUAGGGUGUGUUCAAAGAUGGUAACACUUUACUGUGAGUCCUCCUAUUUAACAUUUAUAAGCAGUAUAUAAACAUCUGAUGAAUAGUUUAACACACAUAAUGCAGUUGUAUGCAGAUAUGUGUUAAGUUAAUAUAUUUGUCAACAAAUAUAACUUAUGAAUGGAGGCUGGCAUGUAAACAUAAUGAAUGAAUUAUAUUAAAAUAGUAUUAACUAUGUCAUAAAUUGUUAACAAAUAUUGUCCAUUAAUAAACACUUAAAUUGUCUUUAUAUCUGCAUACAGCUACAUUAUAUUGAUAUAUAACUUAUUUAAUUAAUAUUAAGGACACAUAAAAGGUUCAUAGUCAACUAAAUCAAAAGAGACAAAAUACACAAUAAAAUAAAUUCAUAGCAACACAUACACAACUUAAGAGACAGAACUCUUUCCACAGACAAACUCGACACAGUGAGGUCAUUUUGUUAAGCCUGCACAUAUCUGUAUGUGUGAUUUCAUAUUGUAGCAGAGCAGGUCAGCACACCAACACAUUUGGCUGGUACUACGCCAUUGUGGACAUUUAAGGAGCGUCUCAUGCCGCAUCAUCGGCCACGUUGAGUCUCUGCAUGUUGAACACCACAGGUGGGCUGUAUAUAACGGGGUUCAAAAAGCUAAAAAUAAAGCUAAAUUGAAUUUAAACAAGUAUAUUAGCUUGUUCAUACAGCUUAUGGUGCUGUCUGUGGAUGUCUUCAUCAUCUGAUAGAUCAGUGACAAUGUGAUGGCUGAGAUAUUUACUAUACUAAUUCAAUACUAAUUUGAAAAUAUAAUAUAUUUGGAAAUAUUGCCAGCCAACAACCUGUCAUGACAAAUAAUCCAUAUGCACAUUAAAAAGAAAAGGCCCUGUCGGAGUCCAUUAUUAACAUGAAAUGAUUUUAAUAGAGAAUUUCCCCAAUUAACUUGCAUAGACUGACGAACAUACCAGACCCAGACCUCUCUGAGCUUCACCAUAUUGCGUCAUUUUUCAGGAUUUGUGUGUUCAAAAAAAUAGUGAUAUAGUAUUUAUAUUGUUAUAAACCAUAAAGUGUAUUAAAUGUUAAUACUAUACUGCUUUUAAAGCUAAAUACUUGGGGUACUCAAGUAAAGUUGCUUUCUGUUGCUUGUUUUAAAUGUGGUUUACAUUUAUUUCUUCUGCUCCCAAAAAAGUUAUUUGUGGAUGAUUCUCAGCCUAGUGUUUUGAAGCUGAAAGAGCAGAAUGUCUUUAAAUUGAUAUUAUAUUUCAAUUUUUCCUCCCUGUCAGUCCUGGUUAUAAUGGCAGCUGAGCAUAGGGACUAAGUUUGGCUAAAUUGUCAGAAGAUAUUUUUUAUUAUUUAAUGUGGCACAUGCUUUAUAAAGCGGACUAAUCUGCUGUGGAAUGACAGUUAUAAUUAACGAUUCAUCCUUUUUUCCAGUGUCUCUUUCUGUGUUUUAAUUGUUCUGUCUUUGUCCAGGACUUUCACUGGGUUUGAAAAGUUGCAUCAUGGUAACAAUCACUACAAUGGAAAACAAACAUCAA